Molecule: transfer RNA, 72 nt
Filed under: Camelus bactrianus (Bactrian camel)
Lineage: Eukaryota; Metazoa; Chordata; Mammalia; Artiodactyla; Camelidae
Also listed under: 2 other names
Rfam family: tRNA
About the family: Transfer RNA (tRNA) molecules are approximately 80 nucleotides in length. Their secondary structure includes four short double-helical elements and three loops (D, anti-codon, and T loops).
Source: Rfam by way of RNAcentral
GAGGGUAUAGCUCAGUGGUAGAGUGCGUGCUUAGCACGCACGAGGUCCUGGGUUCAAUCCCCAGUACCUCCA